UGGUUACCAUGGUUACUCAUCCUUUCACAGUUUCUCAACCCGUCUACUACAAGGCUGUGACAGUUUAAUGAUGAUGAAGCAAUCUUUGGAAAACGGACAUAACUGUCAGUGAAUGUAAACAACACCAUUCUAUGAAUAAAAAAGAUGAUGGGCAGAAUGUAACAGCCUGUGCUUAGAACUACAAAUCCCGGCAAGCUCUGUCAAGCCCAACUGUAAUGGAUUUCAAUGGAUACUGGCAUUUGGAGAACCACUAGACCCCGCCCCCUGUCGGACACAAACCCCACCUCCCAGUGAUGUCAGCUGUCAAUAACUAGGAGGGCACGGAGGAGAAGGCUACAGACCCUCUAGUCAAACAGUUUGCAUUUAGAAGAGGCGAUGCCAGAAAGUGCCCAGCUGUUCCUGGGAAAGCACACUGAGGAUCGGUUUCAGAUCACUUCCAGCGAGCAAUGGAGACGCAGCUUAGUGGCUCUGCCAGAGGACACCUAAGGCAAGAGCUAUGAAGUAAAUAAAACCCAGCAGUAUGCCUACUGCUAAUC
This is a long non-coding RNA of Pseudophryne corroboree (corroboree frog), 536 nucleotides long. RefSeq lists it as uncharacterized. Lineage: Eukaryota; Metazoa; Chordata; Amphibia; Anura; Myobatrachidae. The record is from RefSeq and is a predicted model, not a curated record. The transcript has 5 exons.